CUAACUUUAACUGGGUGCUACCCUGGUCUUCUGGCACUGAACCCUCACUGUGGGCCGGUUCAUUAAGAGAAGAUUCACUGAGCCCUUUGAAAACACGGCUGAAAUCAGAUUGAUGGCACAGACGUGGAGAACUGACUGAUCAUGCAUGGAGUUCACCCACGUUAUUCUUUUUCUUAGGGAUAACUACUUGAGCUCCGUCUCAAACGUGUCCGAGUCAGUAGCUGCAGUAAGGUCCCAUGCAACCACAUAUCAAUUGGAGGACUUUACCCAUUAGGUCUUUUCAGGAAAACCAUAACCAGCUGAGAGCCAAGAGAAGCCGCACUCUUCUCAGAAUGGAAGGCUGCGAAGUCUGCAAAAUAUUCAACCGAGUCUUAAGUGCUUAGAUGUUUAAUAAGCAAAUAAAUCUGUUUGUUUAUAGAAAUAAUGAUUAAGCAAACUCCAGACUAAUGAAUAAAAUAUUAGGAGUUAGAGGAGAAAUAAACACCGUAAAACACCAUUCUUAAAAUGCUGUUUAAGAAUGCUGGCUCAGAUCGGUGGGAGUGUUUAAAUUUAUCCUGUACGCCAUCAUACACCAACUCGGAUGCAUCCUAUGUUGCUUUGCCUCAAAAAAGUACAGCCAAAGUCCCUCCCUGAAAUGUUAGAUGCAGCUUCAUACAGAGCCGCAGGCAUCAUAACAGAGAAGCAGUGCUGGAUCACGAAUUAAGCUUGCCAGCUAACCUUCGCUCACUAGCUGGAAGACGAGCUCUUAUUAAAGUAGAAAGCUUUUUCUCAUUCACUCGGUGUUGAGUAACUGUGACGGUUGCGUUAAUGUCCACAAUAAAGUUCAUUAUUCAUGCAUUCUAAUUAAUGUGCUGAAUGCAGCUUGGGACACAGCCCUAAAUUCACACUGAAUGAGUUGUACUUGUAUUUUGCAGCUACUGGUUUCUUUCCUCUUCGCAGUUUCUUCAGUAGAUUCACUCACCGGGCAAACUUCCUGAAGAACAUUCUCAGUGAGCCGAGGUCCAGUGGCGCCAGAUGCUACACCUACAGUUUAAAGCUUCCUGUCUGAGGUUUCCAGAAUAUUUCUCCACAUUUGAGUGGGUAGGAUUCAGUUUCUGGAUACUCAACAUACAUAUGGAUGUGGCAUAUUUUUACCCAGUUCUUUGCACAACCGUGAACGCAGCACUGCCAACUGGUGGCCUGGAGCAAAAGAGAAGAGAAGAGAAUUAAUAUUUCACUCAUUUAGACACUCAUCAGGAUCCACUGUUUAUUCAGAAAACUCGUUUGAUGCCCCAGAGGAUUGUAUGGUGGGGGUGACAGUGAGUGAGGGAUAGUUGAGGCAUCUACAGUGAUGAAAGACUCUACUUUCAGACUGUACAAUAAACGGCCCCAUUUUCAGACUGUUUAUUGUAUUAUAAAUAAUCAUUACGGCUUUCUAAAGGUGUGCGCUGCAAUUUAAUUAAUCCAGGGGAAAUGUGGUGGGCUAACUACAGAGAGCCCUACCUCUUUCACACCCUCCACAAUAUGUCUUUGAUGCUAGUGGGACUCGGAAGUAAUUUACACUCUGAUUAUUUAUAUUUGCCUGUGUAAGCAGUGUAAAAUGAAGCCAUGAAUGCUGGUACAGCACCUUCCCAAACUCUUAACUCAGGCUUAAUUGCUUGGUUACAAGGUUACAAAAGAGCAUACACUGUAUGUGUGUAUAGUGCUGUGAAAAAGUAUUUCUUCUGUUUUUGUGUACAUCUCAUACUGAAUAGUUUUAGAUCUUCCAGUGAAAUGUAACAAAGGCAACCUGUGU
Ictalurus punctatus (channel catfish) is the source of this 1774-nucleotide long non-coding RNA. Lineage: Eukaryota; Metazoa; Chordata; Actinopteri; Siluriformes; Ictaluridae. The record is from Ensembl.